This 526-nucleotide ribosomal RNA is filed under the name Bifidobacterium breve. RNAcentral's name for it is "bacterial SSU rRNA". It matches the Rfam family "Bacterial small subunit ribosomal RNA", at positions 157 to 693 of the family's 1533-position model. Lineage: Bacteria; Bacillati; Actinomycetota; Actinomycetes; Bifidobacteriales; Bifidobacteriaceae. The record is from RNAcentral.
CGGGUGGUAAUGCCGGAUGCUCCAUCACACCGCAUGGUGUGUUGGGAAAGCCUUUGCGGCAUGGGAUGGGGUCGCGUCCUAUCAGCUUGAUGGCGGGGUAACGGCCCACCAUGGCUUCGACGGGUAGCCGGCCUGAGAGGGCGACCGGCCACAUUGGGACUGAGAUACGGCCCAGACUCCUACGGGAGGCAGCAGUGGGGAAUAUUGCACAAUGGGCGCAAGCCUGAUGCAGCGACGCCGCGUGAGGGAUGGAGGCCUUCGGGUUGUAAACCUCUUUUGUUAGGGAGCAAGGCACUUUGUGUUGAGUGUACCUUUCGAAUAAGCACCGGCUAACUACGUGCCAGCAGCCGCGGUAAUACGUAGGGUGCAAGCGUUAUCCGGAAUUAUUGGGCGUAAAGGGCUCGUAGGCGGUUCGUCGCGUCCGGUGUGAAAGUCCAUCGCUUAACGGUGGAUCCGCGCCGGGUACGGGCGGGCUUGAGUGCGGUAGGGGAGACUGGAAUUCCCGGUGUAACGGUGGAAUGUGUAG